This 288-nucleotide signal recognition particle RNA is filed under the name Carlito syrichta (Philippine tarsier). RNAcentral describes it as "Metazoan signal recognition particle RNA (ENSTSYG00000029587.1)". It matches the Rfam family "Metazoan signal recognition particle RNA". From Rfam's summary of the family: The signal recognition particle (SRP) is a universally conserved ribonucleoprotein. It is involved in the co-translational targeting of proteins to membranes. The eukaryotic SRP consists of a 300-nucleotide 7S RNA and six proteins: SRPs 72, 68, 54, 19, 14, and 9. Lineage: Eukaryota; Metazoa; Chordata; Mammalia; Primates; Tarsiidae. The record is from RNAcentral.
GUAGGGCAUGGUGACGUGCACCUGUGGUCCCAGCUACUCUGGAAACUGAGGCGAGAGGAUUACUGGAGCCCUAGAGUUCUGGUCACUAUGCUGAUAUGGUGUCAAUACUAAGUUCAGGAUCAAUAUGUUGGUUGACCUUGCAGGAGCAAGAGACCAUCAGGUUGUCUAAAAAGGGGUGAACUGGCUCAGGUCGGUGUUGAUCAGUAGUGGGAUCACACCAAAGCAGGAGGAUUGCUUGAGGCCAGAAGUCCAAGAACAGCCUGGGCAACAUAGCAAGACCCCAUCUCU